UACGGAGGGUGCGAGCGUUGUCCGGAAUCAUUGGGCGUAAAGGGCGCGUAGGCGGGCUGCCGCGUCCGGGGUGAAAGCCCCCCGCUCAACGGGGGAACGGCCUCGGAUACGGGCGAUCUCGAGGGGGGUAGGGGCACCUGGAACUGUGGGUGGAGCGGUGAAAUGCGUUGAUAUCCACAGGAACUCCGGUGGCGAAGGCGAGGUGCCUGGACCCCAUCUGACGCUGAGGCGCGGAAAGGCCAGGGGAGCGAACGGG
RNAcentral lists this ribosomal RNA (256 nucleotides) under uncultured bacterium. RNAcentral describes it as "partial 16S ribosomal RNA". It matches the Rfam family "Bacterial small subunit ribosomal RNA", at positions 524 to 776 of the family's 1533-position model. The record is from RNAcentral.